Molecule: ribosomal RNA, 440 nt
Filed under: Psathyrella longistriata
Lineage: Eukaryota; Fungi; Basidiomycota; Agaricomycetes; Agaricales; Psathyrellaceae
Description: partial large subunit ribosomal RNA
Rfam family: Eukaryotic large subunit ribosomal RNA
Source: RNAcentral
AUCCCGUCUUUGACACGGACUACCGAGGCUUUGUGGUGCGCUCUCAAAGAGUCGAGUUGUUUGGGAAUGCAGCUCAAAAUGGGUGGUAAAUUCCAUCUAAAGCUAAAUAUUGGCGAGAGACCGAUAGCGAACAAGUACCGUGAGGGAAAGAUGAAAAGAACUUUGGAAAGAGAGUUAAACAGUACGUGAAAUUGCUGAAAGGGAAACGCUUGAAGUCAGUCGCGUUAGCUGGAAAUCAGCCUUGCUUUUGCUGGGUGUACUUUCUGGUUGACGGGCCAGCAUCAGUUUUGACCGGUGGAAAAAGUCUGGAGGAAUGUGGCAUCUUCGGAUGUGUUAUAGCCUUUGGUCGUAUGCAUCGAUUGGGACUGAGGAACUCAGCACUUGUGCUUAGGAUGCUGGCAUAAUGGCUUUAAUCGACCCGUCUUGGAAACACGGACCAU